GAGGGGAUGCUGGUUUGAGAAGCAUGGGGGUCCUGUGUCUGCCAUGCUUGGAGACACCAAGGACAGAUACCUGCCCCCCAGGAUCCCACAGUCCACGGCAGGAGACCAGCAGGUUCACGAGGAAGGAGCCUUCUGGAGGGCAAGAAAAGACUGAAGGAGCAACUCAAGGGACUACAGAGAACGCCAAGGAGGUGCCCAGGCACUGAAGCCCUGGGGAUCAGCGUGGCAGGAGCAGAAUGGAGUCAGGACACGGGGUGGCCAGCGGAGGCCGGGUUCCAAUAAGGUUCCACAGCAUGGCUCGAGGUGAGACACCGUCCUUGGCUGACACCACAGGCCUCCGCAAGCUGUGUGCCGGCUGGCUCACAGGGCAGCCACCAGGGUGUGAAGGCAGAGGAGGAGCCCCUGCAGCUUGAAUCCCUAAGCCCAUCCCAGGCCACCAGGUCCAAUGGGAAGAGUAAGGUCGGUUCCUGCAUGGCCACUUGCCAGCCCCACCCACCGAGAGACUCAAGAGGAGGUGAGACGGAAGAAAGAAACCUCGGGGAUUCGCCGGGACUCUCAUUUAGUUCAAUGUCCACAUACUGGCAAAUUGCUGGCCCCACCGGGGAGCCCAGGCAGGGCCCACAGGCCCUUCGAAUAUGCAGGUGGAUGAUGGGAGAUACACAGGUGCUAGGACUUCCGGCUGGCUUGCUUGCUGUCCGAGUCAGCGGCGGGCGCUGAUCACGUGGGCUGCUGAGCCCAGCUGGAGAUGCCGAGAAGCUGAUCUGGACUCAGGCCUCUCGUGCAGCAGCAGCGGGGCCUCCGGGGCUGCACCUGGAGCCCUCUGCACCUACAAGAGAUGAGGACAGUGGCCGGCUUCCUGACAAUACCUGGGGUCUCUGGAGGGCGCUGCCUCUGCCCCAGCCUGGUGUCUGCCCGGGACAGCAGCUGUUGCUGGUAAGGGUGGUGUGUCAGGGCCGGCCAGGGGACCUGUGGGGACUUCUGUAGGCUUAACCUUUGCCUACUUUGCGAGCCUGGUGGGGAGCGGGGAGGAGACAGAGUGCUUCGGGGUUGGCUGAGGCCUCACUGUGGGUUCCACAAACGUCCAGUCUCUGAACCUGCAGUGCCCCCUCACUAGCUGUGUUAUCUUGGAAAAGCAGUCCAAAUCUCUCUGCACCCCAGUCUUUCCCCUGUCACACGACCAUCUCGAGAAUCCUGAUGUGAUGGAAUGCUGUGAGAUUUAAAUGGGAUGUAAAAAUGGGAUGCUCCAUCAAAGGGGUGCCUGGCCUUAGCAUCUCAUGUGUCUGAGGUUGAGGGUGUUCACAGAAGGGAAUGGGGUUCACAUCCGCCUCCAACACUGGGCAAGGUAUCUGUGCUUGCACCGACAGCACCAGUACGGGAUGGACUCUCCAGCCUCCCCCAGGUGCUCACUCGAUAUGGUCAUGACGGUUGGGUGCCCCGGGGGGUGUCGGGGGGCUUUAUUCCAGAUCUGAGUUUUUCAGUCUCGGUCUCAUUGACACGUGGGGUCGAAGCAGUUCUCUGCCACGUGGGGCUGUCCCAUGCAUUGUAGAAUGAGUGGCAGCAUCCCUGGCGCGGCGCACCUGUGCUCCACACGUUCCAGGGUGUCCCGGCCUCGGGAUGGGGACAAUGCCACCCGCGGUUGAGUGUGACUGAGGAGUGAGCCCUCAGUCAGUGCUAUUUCUUUGUUGAAGAAGAGUGUUGAAGUUGGGUGAGCUUUUCUGAAACUUGGUGGUCUCUGCCUACUUCAGUGCAUCCCCUGGGGGGCCUGCUAUAUCCUGUGAAGGGGCGUUCCAGAGUCUACUGGUGACAAGCUUUCCAAACCCCAGCCUCGUUGCACAUAAAGGACUUGUUCUGGGACAUGGCUGGGCAGCCGGAUCAAUUGCAACUUGGGUGCUUAAUAUAUUUUUGGUCACCCGAACCUAAUUUUUUUUUUAAAAGACCAUUAAAUGCAACCUAGACCUCACAGUCUUUCACGCUUAAUUGAGCCAUGAGCUACGAUUAAAACUAAGCAGUGAAUUCUGUGGGGAACAGAACCUUUGAUGGCAUAGAGGUUUGUGUUUGACCACAAGCCUGGGAUUUGGCAGGUCCCCAAACCAGAAAAGGCUCUCAAGGAGACAGUUUCUCUGGAAACAGAGAUGGAAGAAGAGCUGGGAGCUCUGAGGUCCUCACUAUGUCAGAGAUGGCCCGAAGGCCCUGGGAGAGAGGGCCAGGCACCUGCCUCAUGAGGACUCUGGGUAGGUGUCCUCCCGGAUGCCAUGAGGGCCUGUGACAUGUCUUUCUUAGAUGAGUCAGGUGUGGCUCUCCUUGUCUGGUCUGGCUUCUUACCCACACGCCCUAACAUCUCUGCGCUCGCGGAGCAGGCCAUCUUAGCUCAGGAGUCAAAGAUGUUCUACCAGAUGUCAGGAGCGUUUCUGCUUAAUGCUUGGUGUGCCUACAGGAGGGUAGUGCCCCAGGCAUGGAUUUUAACCAGCGCGAGAGUUCCUCAUUGUUGAGAAUUUGACUGUGACACAUGGCACAGGGCUUCACAGCACAAAGCAAUCCAGGAUGAGUUUUUGCCUCGAGUCAUCCAGUGGCCCCAGGGUAUAAGAGUCAGUGGAGGGUUGAGCUCUUGGGAGUGUGCACCGUGGUGAGCAUGGCCACUUGAGCCCUGACUGUGGUCCGUGGACCUGGGCCGUCAUUUGCUCAUGCCGUGGUUAUGCAUCUGUGACAUGGGCUGGGCUGUGCAGAGUGGAGCAAGGCCUGGGCACUGCAGAAAUGUAGCUGGCUGCUUUCUCUGCAGAGUGUGUGUGGCCAUCAUCAUGGCGCUCUCAAACAGCAACAUAGGGAUGCUGGGCGCUGCAUGCCGCAGACUGCGUUGAUAUUACAGGUGGUCACUGACACACAGGUACCUGAGAUGCUGGGUUUUCUUGUGAGAUUGAAGGCCACGGGUCUGGAGUUUGUGGCAAACGUCACCUCCCAGGAUGUGUCUCUCAAAGCCAGGCAUGCUGCACAUGAUUUGCUUGGUGCGCAUCAUCCUCGCAGUAUGGGGUCCUCUCAUUUGCUGGGAGGGCAGUGUCACCUGAGGGUGUCCUGGUCCCACGAGCUCCUAGUUCUCAGAAGAGCCCAGGAGAGGAGCUGAGGCCCGAGAAGGCUGCUGAUUGGGCUGGCCCUGGGCUGGCUGGCUUUUCGAGAACUGAGUUGGUUCCUCUUUGACCCUUUGGCACAGUGGCUGAUCUGCACUGACCUUCAGAAUGAAGGCUUUUGGCCUGCCCGGCGAGCUCUCACAAGAGUCUGGGGACAGUGGAUGGGUGUGCUCCCCCCCCCGCCCCGGGAGGGGCAAGGAGGACGUUGAAGUUUGGCUCUUUGUUGGUAUGGCGGGACUCAGUGUGGGGUGCGGCCUUCAGAGUGGCCCAGAGUUUUUUCCUUGUAAUCCCAGACCUCAGAUUGUUGUCUGCAUACACCCUCUUGGGGAAGCAGAAGUUCUCCUUUAGGGGAAACACCAAUUUUGCUUGCUCAGGAAAGCCCAAGGGCAACCCUAGGUGGAAGGCCGGGGAGGCCCAGGAAGGCCCCCAGGUGAGGUGUGGGCUCCCAGUGGGGUGGGCGUCUUUGUCUUGCUGUGAUCAUGGGACUCGUGGAGACGCGGGGUGGCCCGUGACGCCCAGCUCCUUAGAAGAGAAGGGUUUCUCGAGUCUAUUGGUGGGGCCUCAGCUGGCCCAGAGAGAGGAUGGUACUGCAGGGGGUCCUCAGGUGGCCCUGGGGACAGGCGGUGGAGUUUCCUGUAUAGAUGAGGCUUCUUCAGCAGGAAGGGGAAGUGUCCCCGCAGGUGGCUGUCGGUGGUGGGAGAUUGUGCCUGUUUGGGGAAAACCCCUGUGGCGGUCGGGGCCAUCUUCCAGGAGGCCCCUGGUGUCCGUGGCUUCUCGGAGCAGUCUGAAGGACACGGAGAGCUGAUGGAUCUUCGGUUUCCAGUUACGUCCGCCCUGAAACAUGCCUGAGGUCGGCAGUUCGCACCUGCUCUGUGCAAGGGCUCCUUCCAGUCCGGUGCCACGCAGCCGCCGUGCUCCGGACGCCUCUGUGAACUUGGCAGGAGCUGUCUUGUGGGGCUGAUUCUUCACCCAGCGCUUGGCUUUUGUUUGCUCACUUGCAUUUCCUCAAGCAGCUUCUGCUCUUUCUCCUGCCUGAUUGGUUAUCCGUCCCCAGGACUGGGGGGCCAGAGGUGGGCGCGCUCGGCUCGCGGAGGGCGGGAAGGCUGCGUCUUUUCCAAACCACUCUCUUUCUUCCUGACUUUCUUUGUGUUGCAGAGCUAUGAUUGGCUGCUGAUGGCCUCUGAAGGCUUUGUGAGGGUUUGUUCCUGGCUGGCCCCUUGAUAAGGGGGCUCGCCUCCCCCCUCCCCUCUCCCCUGCCCCAGGGAAGCCUGGCAGGCAGCUUCGGCAGGCAUUCUGUCCUGGAAUCAUUGUGAGCCCACGCGCCUGGUCGCCCUGGGCUCCAGCUGCUUUCUGACUUGUGGCGCACUGGAUGCCAGGGGCAGAGCCGGGAAGCGGUGUGGGCUCCAGUUCCCCAGGCCGGGAGUGGGCCGGGGGCUACCUCUUCAGAACUCCCCGCCUCGCCCGGCCACCUCUCCCCUCUUUUUGCUUUUGCUUUGUGCCUCUGUAGCUCCUUCGGAAAGAAACCCGCUCCGCCUCUGGGGAAGCCGCCUGUUCUCUGAGGAGAGUCUCCUGGCUUCUGUGAGCGCCUGCUUCUCCUUUCUGUGUGCUGACAGGAAGUCCGGGUGGGCCAGCCUGGUUCCGGGCUUGAAGGACUCCCGACGACUUCACUGUGCUCUCUCAAAUUCCUGUGCACGCGCUUUGUGUUUAUGAUGAAGGUCUUUCACACGGGUCCGCUUUGCACUUCCUGCUCUGGCGAGUCUCAGCGCUUCCUUUUAGGGGUACCGGGGCGCUGAGCGUCUGGGCCUGGCUCACCAGGAGCUGACGGGCCACAGGCCCCGGGCUCCGAUUCUGCGUUUCCGGCAAGAUGUUGAUGGGCUCAUUUCUCUCCCCACGUUCGAGAGGGGCCUGUGACUUCUGUGGCCCUGAGUGGCCACAUGCUCUCGAUGCAUUUCUGAACAGGGAGGCUCCGCAUCCUCUGUGAGCGCCCGGCCCUGCAGAUCGCGUCCCCAGGGUGCUGAGGGCCGUGGGGGCGAGGCGGGGAGCCGCCCUGAAGAACCAUGACUGGAAGAGGCUGGGGUGCAAGGGGCCGGCUCAGGAUCGGGAUUCUGAGCAGGACGAGGGGUCGGGCGUCUGGGAUGCCCGGCGGCAGGGACGAUGGCGGAGGAGCAGCCGCUCACUGUCUGGAGCCCCGCGGGGCUCGGCGUGCGCAGGGCCGGCCUGCUUUUGCUCCCUGCGCCCCUCGGGGUGCGUGUGGCACGGAACGUGGCUCACGGAACGCCCCAACACCGGCCCCCGGCCCCACAGCUGGCCGGCCAUGGGCGGAGAGUUUGGGGUUGGCAGCGCCGGCAGAGCAGAGGCCGGCGGGUCGCGUGGUGCUGCUCGCUUGUCCCACUGCCGCCGGGGACCCGCGCCCUUGAGUGCAAGUCAGUGGGCUGUGAGCCCCGCGGCUGGCACCCCCGAGUCACUCCCUGCCUUUGAAGAACGUUUCCUCUCUUGGCUCUGGCCCUGCAUUCUGGAUUCUCUCUAAAGUGCCCUCGUCCUCCAGCCCCCUGACGCGGGCCCCAUGCCUCUCCAGCUCCCAGGUCUUAAAAAAGCCCACUUUGUAGCAGACGGCGGCAUUGUCCCAGCAGCCUCCGGACACUUUCUCUGCAGUUCCCGCGCAGCUGUCUCGCCGGGCCCUGGCGGAGGCGGACUCUCUGGAGCUCCCCAGCUUGUGUGCAUGGGAUGGAGGAAACCCCGGGGGAUGAGGCCCCCUCAGGAGGGCCAGGACGCUGGAGGCUCAGGGGAGGCGCUCUGGCAUGGGGUCCGCUGCAGCUGGGCUUGGGGUUGGGGGGAGGGAAGCACCUGGGGCGCAGGGUGGUGGCAGCCUCGGGCACUGAGGCAGAUCACUUUUAACGGGCUGGGCAAGGUCUCUGUCUUGUUGUCUUAUCAGCUUCGUAUCAGACUUCUCCCCAGAUUUCCGUUCUGGCACAACAGCACAUGCCUUGUUCGUUUUGUUGUAUGAAAUGCCCUAACCAGAGCACUGUGGCUGUUUUCCGUGUAGGUGCGUCGGUCUACCAUUUCUUCUUCUCUUUCCUUCCUCAUUCAACACCCCGUUUUAAGAUCAGACCUUCCCCUCUGCAGUCUUAGAAUGGAUUGAGAUUACCCCCAAGGGCUUUUGUUUAUGUGGGUUAAAACUAUUGAUAUUCCUGCCUUAGAAAUGGAAAUAGAGACACUUAAAAAAAAGCAAACGUCUCCAUUUGUUUAGAAACAAAUGCAUGCCAAUGUAAAUCAGUUUUAGCAUUUUUAUGAAAAUAGUUUUGACCUUGAAGACUGCCAGUCCCAGGAUGUGAGUGGGCUCUGACCAGACACCGGUGUGGUUUGCACUGCUUUGUAACACGGAUGUCGGAAGGCAGUUUGUCUUAGGGAAGUGUGCUUGGAGCGAUGGACUAGCCUCCGCGGUGACUGACGGAUGCCACUGUCCCUGUGUGAAAGGUCAUUCUGGCAAGCAGACAUUCUGGGUCUGACCCGAACACUUUUUGGUGUUUUAUGUUGAGUUUUUAAGUCCCAGAGUAGAUAACUUUGAAACACAAAGAACAAAAAUUCUUCGCUUACGAGCAAGCUAUUUUUCUUUUGCAAGCUAUUUCUUUUACUUUUUAAAUUUGAAAUCGAUGGCAGCGUAGGCUUUUUUCUUAAGUUUGAAAUACUUUUUGCCUUUUUGGUGGUUUUGGGUGUCUAAUCCUGUCUCAUUCCAAAAGGGAACUCCAUCCUCGUGCGCUGGGCCUCUCCCCCGUCCUCACCCACAGGCAGUCUCUGACCCCUGAGUGUAGCAACGGGAGUCACACAGUGUGUGGCUUUUUGUAUCUGACUUCUUGUGCUUAGCCAAAUGUUUGAGGUGGAUGGGUCAACACUUUACCCCACUCAGAGAUGACCCUCCCUGGCACAGACAUACCACUGCAAGGUGUCCAGCGCAUAACACAUCUUCCCAGGCAGACGCAUCAAUUAAUUCACAAGCUUUUAUUGGGAUCCCGCUCCCGGGCGAGGUUCCCGGUCCCAACAGAGCAGGGCCAGGCCGGGAAAGCUGCACGUCAGAGGUUGGGAGGGCUCCUUUUAUAGAUUCAGGGUGUGGGGGUUAAAGGUUGAGGCAGGUCUGAUCCUCAUUGGUUGACCUUUAGGCACCCGCAGGGACCUUGACAAGGACUUUUCUUCCCCGGAAGUACAGGUAGGGACUCUCCAUUCCCGGAAGUAUAGGCCUUCCCUCCUUGCCGAUCCCAAAGCUACCAACCACUCCGCAUUUGGUUUUCCUGUGGGCUGUUGCCGCUGGGGGGCGUUUUUGAACAGUGCCGGGAGCCUUUGUGUGCCGGUUUUUAUGCGGGCACCGUCUACUCUAUGCCUUAGUUAGAGCUUGCAUGGGUCCCCAGGCCCACGCUGACCGUGUGUUCAUCAUACGUCCAGACCCCCUGCCCUCCCAAAUCAGAGAGAAAGGAGAGAGGGAACCUGCCAGCUAUCUUGGAAAAUCACAAAGAUUUGUCUUUAUUUUUUGUGUUUUUUUUUUUUUUUUUCCACCUGUUAGAAAGAUGUCGUAAGUCAUUGCGGGCCAUUUGCUAUGUUCCUGCUGUGGUUUGCAUGGGAGGAGGUGCCGGAUCAGCAAGGGGCUCACUCAGCUUUCCCCAGGUAAACGUGCAGAUGAAAGGCGGCGAGUUGUGACAUGUUUCAGAAAUCGUUUGUUUGAUGGGAAGUCCUGGCGAUUUGUCACCGCCCCCGCUGCCCACUGUAUUUUGACUCUCAGGGGAAGCGAUUGUCCCAAACUGUAUGAGAUGAUUGUUCUCUGCCCCGAUGGGGGCGUGGCUCUCCCCCGAGAGUGGACCGCUGCUAGUGGGCCUCUGUCAUCCGCGGAUGGCCCUGGGGUCACACUGGGCUCGCCCGAAAGGCUGUGUGCUCCAGGCCACAGGACCACGCUUGUUUCUUCACCGGAAAAGGAUACGGCAUUUGACUGCUGACGGCCGUCCCAGGUGCUGCCAUGUGUUGCCACUCUGGGAACAGACUCGUUGGCCCCCCUUUGGCAACUCCCGGGGGGCUCCCCGAGGACGGUCAGGGUCCCAGGGCUCUCUUGAAUCCAGGAUUUAGUUCCAUGGGACGCAAGCAUUUCGCUGUGGCGAUUUAAGCUGCUGUUAACCUUGUUCGAUUGUUCUAUUUUUUAGGCUAUAUGUGAAGGUCUUAAGAUUCCCAUAAUGCACCAUUUAGCCGACUGUGCUUUUGUAAACGGAAAUAAAAAUUUUAAGAAUGACACUUGAUUUUCACAGCUGUGCCGGGGCAUCUCGUUCUGGUUUGAGUUUCCAUUUCCUUCUUAGCAAAUGCCGUCGCAUCUUUUCCAUGUCUACCAUCCAUAUGUGGCCUUCAGUAGCGUGGCAGGGGGUGAGGUGCUGAGGGAGACGUGCGUGUCACUCAUCCCACGAUCCCCAUUCUACAGACGAAGAACCCAUGACCCCAGAAGGAACGUGUGUCCAGGUCUCCCCGGCACGCUGUGAGCGCUGAAGGGGACAGAGGGCUGGCCGCUCGGGGGCCUGAGCACGCUGUACCAGGCCUCAGGGUGGUUUCGGGUGCCUCGGCUCCGGAGUGGGACGGGUCAUCGCAGGUCAGCGCCCCGGCCACGGCAGACACAACCAUCCCCCUGCAGAAGCUGCCAGGUUCUGAGGCCCCCACCCCGUACGCAGGAGGCAGUGCCCAGAGGCACCUUGUCUGUGGGCAGCAGGGAUGAGCAGGACUUCUGAGCCUGGAGCCGCUUCAUCCCUGUGAGUGCUGGAGCAGUCAGAGAGCUCGCCCCGGAGAGACAGGAAGCGGCUUCCACCUCAGGCUCACCGGGCUGACACAGAGGUCUUGACAGGGCUCUGCUCCUUCUGAAAGCUCCAGAGUUGUUUCCCUGCCUUUACCAGACUCUGCCUGCUGCCCCUUCCACGUUCAGAGCCACAGAGGCCGGAGGAGGCGGCCUGGCAUUGCACCACCCUGGUCCUGACCGCACGUGCAGGGACCUUAUGAUUGCACUGGGCCCACCUGGAGAAUCCGCCUGUUUCUAAGAUCAUUGGAGAGCGACCUAAUUCUUUCUUUUUAAAAAAGAUUUAUUUAUUUACUUGAGAGGCAGAGUUAAAGACAGGGAGGGAGAGACAGAGGGGUCUUCCGUCCACUAGUUCACCCCCUAAAUGGCCACACUGGAGCCAGAAUCUCCUUCCCAGUCUCCCACGUGAGUGCCGGAGCCCAAGCACUUGGGCCAUAUUCCACUGCUUUCCCAGGCCAUUAGCAGAGAGCCGUAGCCAUGACUCAGACGGGGGCCCAUAUGGGAUGCCAAUGCCACAGGUGGAGGCUUAACCUAAUUCUUUUUUUUUGAAGUCAUAUUUAUUGGAAAAGCAGGCAACACAUAAAGAAGUACAGAAAGAGAGAGGUCGAUCUUCCAUUCACUGGUUCACUCCCCAAAUGCCUGGCUGAAAACAGAAGCCUGAAAACAGAAGCCAGGAACUCCAUGUAGGUCUCCCACGUGGGUGGCAGGGACCCAAGCCCUUGAGCCACCGCCUGCUGCCUCCCAGGUGUGCAUCAACAGGAAGUUGGAUCAGAAGCACAGCUGGGACUUGAACUCAGGCACUCUAAUCUAUGGACGUCCCAAGUGAUGUCUUAACCUCUGAGCCAAAUGGCCACUCCAACUGUGAUUCCUUCUGCAAGUUCAAGUCCCCUUGCCAUGUGAGAUCACAGGUUCAUUCUGCUUGGGGAUUAGGGCACAGACAUCUCUGGGAAUCACUGCUCUGUCCUCCACAGCCUGCCUGAUUGUUCAGGGGACAGGACGUGGAUAACAGUGAGGGCCCCAGGAGGAACAGGUGCCCUGCUGGAGCCAUCGUAAAGCCACGUGGUCAAAGUGCCAUGGAGAAAGAUAUUGCCGGGGAGGGGACUAGGGGAGUGCAGUGUAACCAGGGUGGGCUGCACUGAGACCGUGCCAUUUAAGCCAAGACAAGCCAAGACCGGAAGGAGACAAGGAGCCCCUGGCAGGCCUGUGGGGCUCUGCACGAGCUGCUCUCAUCCGGUCUUGAUUGCUUACUUUUCCCUCUGAGCUCCCUCUCUGUCUAGCAACUCGUGCCCUCCCCCCCCCCACCCCCAGAAGAACGAGCCAGGCUACCCUGCCCUUGGUGCUGGGUUUAGGGGAUACUUUAUUUUUUGCCUGUGGAUGCCUCUGCUGUCCACGGCAUGAGGUCAGCCUGCCCCUAGCUGAAUUCUGACUCCACCGCUGGCUGGCGGCUUUCCUUGGGGGAAGUGACCUCAGAGUUUUGUGCCACAGGCUCUAGAGAGAAGAGACAAUGAUGCUAAGUUCCCCAUGGCUAGUGUGAGGCCCACGCUAGGCGACCCCAUACCUGUGUUUAGGGGAGAAGCCUAAAACCCGCUGAUGUGUUAUCACCUUAUGUUAGUCUUCCAUGUUGCAUUGCACACAAUUUUACCUGCUUCCCAGGUGCUUCUAACUUUGAAUUGUUUGGGAACAAAACUGGGCAUGAAACUAACGUUCAAACACCUUGGCCACCAGAUGAACCCCCUUGAGUGAUUCCACAGGGCCCUCCGGGAAGCCAUCCUGUUUCCUGACUGGCUACUUAGAGACCACUUCAGCCCACUCUUCAAGGACCUGAGUAUAGUCAAUGGCCCUUCAAAAUGACAAAAGCCGCUGCCUAUAUGAGGGUACUUCAGAAAGUCCGUGGGGAUGGUUGUAUGACCUAGCGCUUAAGACACUGGAUAAAAGGCUGGUGUCAGCAUGCCAUAUGGGUGCCCAUUCGAGUCUUGGCUGCUCCACUUCCAAUCCAGCUCCCUGCUCAUGCGCCUGGUAAGGCAGUGGAGAAUGGGCCAAGUCCUUGGGCCCCUGCAGCCAUGUAGGAGACCCGGAGGAGGCUCCUGCCUCCUAGCUUUGGAUUGGCCCAGCUCCAGCCAUUGCGGCCAUUUGGAGAAUGAACCAGUAGAUGGAAGACCUCUCUCUUGGUCUGUGCCUCUCUCUCUUUUUGUAACUCUGCCUUCCACAUAAAUAAAUAUUUAAAAAUGGUUCUGGUUAAGAUGCCUGCAUCCUACAUCAGGAUACCUGGGUUCCAGCCUCGAUCUGCUCCAGAUUCCAGCUUCUGUGAAUGCACACCCUGGGAGGCAGCAGGUGAGGGCUCAAUGGUUGGGUCCCCACUACCCAUGUGGGAGACCUGGCCCGAGCUUUGGAGGCACUUGGGGAGUGAACCAGUAGUUGGGAGUUGGUUCGCUCUCUCAAUCUAUUUGAAUUCCAUCCUCCAUGAAUUGUUUGAAGUGCUCUUGCAGGCGUGGCUCGUGCAGGCGCGGUGGGGGCCAGUGCCUCCCAGGGCUGUCUUCUCCGGUAGGCCCAGUGCAGGGUCUAGGGCUGGGCUGCUGGGGAGACUUGCGAAAAUGUUCUGCUUUUUAAAAUCCAAAGGCCAAAAUGGCCUUUUGGGUUAAAGAAAUUGUCUUAAUAUAUGAUACUAAUAUAUUCACCUGUAUGCCAAUGCACUGAUAAAAAUAGAUUUUACAAUACUUUAUGGAGGUAGCUGUCCACGUGUGCCCAGGGCCCACGUGCCUGGUCCCCUCUGUCAGUCCCAGUGUGCCUGGCCAGACGUGCUGCUGCUCCACGUGCGGACGCGUGCAUGCGUUGACAUGUUCAGCGCAUCCCCCACAGGCCCCUCGACUGCCCUUAUGCCAAGAUUCUGAGUUCCACCAUGUUUACUCCCGCUUGUCUCCCCCUCCUCCUGGAACGGAGAGUCCAGGAGACCUGGGCACUCAGUCUCGUGAGCUGAGGAAGCUCUGCGGACUUUGCAACCCUCGGCUUUUCCCUUUGUAAAACGGGACGUGCGGGGUGACUGUUGUCAGUGCACUUCCCUUCUCUGGGCGCCAAGUCUUCCUCUGUUCCUUUGGAACCUCCAGCCCCUCAUCCCAGGAAGACUCCCCCCCCCCCCCCGACCUGCUGGCCGUGGCUGAUUGGUCAGGGGUAAACAUGGGGCCUAAGGUGGGCCAGCCAGGGCUCCUGGAACAUGGGAUAGAGAAGCAGUCUGUCUGCCAGUGAGGCACUCGGAUGUGUCAUGCUGAGCCAGUUUCUUUAACACAGGCUUAUGAGCAUCUGCUGUGUGCUUGACAUAGCUCCCGACGCUGCAGAUACAGCACGCGUGACUUACUUAUUUAUAAACAUGGAUAGAUGCGUUUCCUGUCCCAGGGAGGACAUCCAUCUGAGAGAACAAAGCCAUUGGAUAGGGCACAGGAGAGACAGGAGAUGGAAGAGCCGUGGCAGUUUGUCACUCCCAGCUCAGCUUGUGCCGUGUGACCUGUUGGUGGCCCAGCUUCUAGCCACGAUUUCUCCUUUUUGCCUGAGCUAGCCAGGAUGGCGUUUGAUUAAAGCAAAGAGCAGACGUGGUUAUUUUUUUUAAAUUGUUAUGGAAAAAUGAAUGAAAAGAUAAUGCAUAUGUUCCAUGAAGUUUUUGAACAUUCCUUGGGCAUUUCUUUUGAUGAGUUACUUACACAUUUGAAAGGCAGAGAGAGAGAGAGAGAGAGAGAGAGAGAGAGAAGUUUCAUCUGCUGGUUCACUCCCCAAAUGCCUGCAACAGCCUGGGCUUGGCCAGGCCAAAUCAGGAGCCAGAAACUCCAGCUGGGUCCCCCCAGAUGCGUGACAGAGAGCCAAGUGCCAUCUGCUGCUGGCUCCAGGGUGCAGUAGCUAGAAGAUGGAUCAGAAGCGUCGGUGGGGCUCGACCCCAGGCGCUCCGACAGGGGACACAGGCAUCCCCGGCAGCAGCCUAACCUGAUGCCCCUCACUGCCCACCCCCCUUGCAUAUUCUUGAGUAACUGAUUUCCAGACUCUAUCACUCCCUGAAGUAUUUCCCAAUGUAAACUCAGGUGUACACCCACACGCGUGCCCGGAGGGUGAAAUCAUGAUUCUCUCUGUCUGAAUGUGUGUUUCUCUGCCUCUGUAAAAAAAAAAAAAAAAAGUCGUGGAAAAAUGGAAAGAAAAGAUAAGUGCAUUUUGGUGCAACAAAGUUUGGAAUCCAUGGAUAUUUUCACACUACACAUUUCCACGAAUGUUUCUGAAGACCCCUAAUUGGAAAGUGUUGUUCUCUGUUGGAACCUGGGCUGAAUUUGUAAUUGCUACUGAAGAUGGCCCCGGGAAACAGAGCCUGGAUAUUCUGAGAUUGGGUUGAUGAAUUAUUCAAGAAGGGCAGAGAAGCCCUCCUUGCCAGGGGGAAGUGGGACACGGGUUCUCCGUAGCGGGUGGUGGCAUCACAAACCCUCAAAUUAUCACCGGUAGUGACAGAGAUGAUAGGCAGGCAGCAGAAAAGCCUUGAGAUUUCCAGGGGUUCUGACACCCAGUUUCUAUGGCAACAAGAGGGAAUUUGAGCAUCUUGGAGUAGCCUGGAUUCUUGUGGCUGUAGAGAGUGCGCACAGGGAAGAGGAGGAUUUAGAAACUGCAACACCAUCUGAUCGAGUGCACGCUCGGAGAACAGGCAGGCCUUGGGAUGGCCUUGGAGGGUCUCUCAGCUGCUCUGGUGGCUGAGGACCAGGGUCAGGUGAGAUGAUGGACAGGCUAUGUGUCUGCAGCAGCAGGGCUGCUACACCAAGCACAGAUGGGGUAGGAACAGCUGAGUGGACAAGGGUAAGGAAAUGGGUGCCCAGUGUCCCCUGAAUUCCACCCCAUUAACCUCUAGAAGCAGCCCCUUCUACAUCCCCUUCCCCUGCCCCCACCCCAAGUGUGGGAACCAGCCCUCUUCUAGAGAUGGCCUUGAACUGGCUGUACCCGAGUGUCAGCUCAGGCUGAUGCCACCUUCUGGCUGCCCUUCCUCCUUCCCCGGCACAAAGCUCCCCUGCAAAUAAGCCCUUCUGAAACUAUCCUGAAGUGAAGGUGCCACCUGGAAGUGCGUCUGAAAUCCUCUUACCCGUCCCUUCCCCAACUCUGCUCCUCGCCUAGGCUUCCCGUCUCUGUGAAUGGCACCCACUAUGCACCCAGCUGCUCAAGCCAACAGCCUUGCAAGCCGUUACCCCUUUCUUGCUUGUCCUGAAUCUAAUUCCUAGCAAGGCCUUUGAUUGCAUCUUUGACAUAGAUAGUUGAUGUCAGGCUAUCAAAUAGAAUCUGAUAUUUGAUAUCACCACUGCUUGUACUUUUUUUUUGAUGCAAGACAUCAGCCUUUCUCAACUGCACCAGUGUUCAGGAGCCUCCUAGCUGGUCUCUCUGCUCACUCACUCGCUCUCGCCUCCUGUGGUUUAAUGUCCGCACAUUUGCCAGAAAUUGUCCUACCCUGCUGAUGUCACCCUCGGAAGCUUGCGUUGACCGUGAGCUUCCAAGCCCUUUGCGUCAUGGUCCCUGCUGUGGUUCAGCUGUGGGUUGAGUGGGCUGCCCAAGGUGUUAGGUGUUGGAAGCUUGGUCCUCAGUGUGCUGAUGCUGAGAGGUGAUGUGGAACCUCAGAGUCGGGCUGCAUUACGGCACAGGGGGUUAAAAUGCUGCCUGCCAUGCGGGCAUCCCAGAUGGGCACUGGUCUGCGUCCCGGGUACCUCAUGUGUGAUCUCACUCCCUGCUAAUGUACCUGGGAAGGCAGCGGAAGAUGGCCUAGGUAUUUGGGUCCCUGCUACCUACUGGAUGGAGUUCCAGGCUCCUGGCUUUCGCCUGGCCUAGUCUUGCCAUUGCAGCCAUUUGGGGAGUGAACCAAGUCUUUCUCUGUCUCUCUGAAACUCUGCUUUUCAAAUAAAUAAACCUUUUUUUUUUUAAAGUCAUUGAAAAGAAAUUUAAGAGGAAGGUGAAGCCUGGUAGAAGGAGUUUGGGUCACUGGGUGCUGCCCACAGAAGGGCUUAACCAGUCUCCAGGAGCAGUCGGCUCUCUAAGUUGUCAUCAAAGACAAGACCUGCCCCUCCCCCACCUGGCUUCCAGUUUCUCCAGGUGACCUCCCCUCUACCUCCGGCUCCUGCUCUUGAUUCCCUUAGGCCCUCACCAGAGAGCCUGAACUGCACAGCUGCCCCAUUUUGGGACUUCCAGGGUCCAAGACCACGGGCUCAACACCUCCUUUCCUUGUACACGUCCAGGCCCCAGGUAUUUUGUUAUAGAGAAGUGGACUAACACAGCCUCCGAGGCACCACGGGGCCUGGGCUGGCCUCACCUGUUUCCCCAACCUCCCCUACAGUCACCCGCUUCCCCCAUUCGCCUCCAGCCCCAGGGGCCUCUUUCCUGGCUGUUUCUUCUCCCAGGUGGCAGCAGGUGCACUCCGUCACUUCACGCAGGCCUCUGCUGGAACGCUGUCUUUGCCGAGAAACUGCAGUGAAACCUCUGUCUUUUCUGUCGCUUUCCUUUGUCUACUUUCUUUCAGCACGCUCGUCACUACUCGGCAUCAUGUGUGUUCUUACCUGCAUGUCUUCUACCUUAUUAUUAUUAUUAUUAUUUUUAGAAAAUUUUAUAUCUGAAAGGCAGAAUUUCAGGGGAUGGUGGUGGGGGAGAGGGAGACAGACAGAGACAGUGAGAGAGAGAGACAGAGUGAGAGCGAUCUUGUAUCUGCUGGCUCACUCCCCAAAUGGCUGCAGUGGCCAGGGCUGGGCCAGGUCAAAGCUGCUGGCCUGGAAUUUCAUCAGGUCUCCCACAUGGGACCCAGGCCCUUGGGCCAUCUUCCGUUGCUUUCCCAGGUGCAUCAGAAUGGAGCCGGGUGGAACUCGGGCAGCUGGAACUUGAAGCAGUGCCCUGAAAUGGGAAUGAUGGAGCCCAGGCAGCGACUUAACCCCUGUGUUUCACUUGAGAGUGUAAGCUCCAUGAAACUUCUCAACAAAGGAGCAAAUGCGCCCAACAGGGCGGAGUUCCCAGAGGAAGUGACAGUUCCUUUUUAUCACUGCCAAGGAGGUUUGUGAGCUGCAGGCAGAGGGGUCCAGAGGCACAGCCGGUGGUCCUCGCCCUGUGUUCCCAGAGUGGGUGGGGCCAUAGCUUCUCAAUGCCUCUAGCCCUGCUCCCCAGGUUCCACACCGUAGAAAGCACUUGUCGGGAGCAUAUAUUAUUAGCGCUUCUCUUGGAAAAGAACCGGAUGCUGGGGGGGUAACCUGCACUUUGCAGAGAAGUUAACUUCAUGGUGGUGUACACCUCCUGGCUGGGGCCCUGCCAUUGCCACACCCAGGGCAGUGGUUUAGACCAUGGAUCCAAGUUGCUGGCUUCAUACCCCUACUGGCCAUGGGAUGUGGGGCUCAUUACCCAACCUCUUAGAAUCUUCAGCGAGAAACAACCACAGGGUCUCCCUGGGAGGGGGAGAGCGGCCCCAGGCCAGCUGUCCAGUGCAGUACCUAGCACUUGGCAGUACCUAGCACUUGGCAGUACCUAGCGCUUGGUACGCUCUCGAUGAAUCGGCAGCUCCUGCUGUGUUCUUGGUUAUAGAAACAAACAUGGAACAGACAGGGCUCAGGCUGGUGACGGGACAGGCAAGCAAUGCUGAGUGAAAGCCAGAGGGUCACAGGGUCCUACAGUGCCCCGAGGUGCUCCUGGCACCCUCAGCCACGGA
Oryctolagus cuniculus (rabbit) is the source of this 16612-nucleotide non-coding RNA. Lineage: Eukaryota; Metazoa; Chordata; Mammalia; Lagomorpha; Leporidae. The record is from RefSeq and is a predicted model, not a curated record.